CGGAGGAAAAGAAACUAACAAGGAUUCCCCUAGUAACGGCGAGUGAAGCGGGAAGAGCUCAAAUUUGUAAUCUGGCCCUUUCAGGGUCCGAGUUGUAAUCUCGAGAAGUGUUUUCCGCGCCGGACCGCAUACAAGUCUGUUGGAAUACAGCGUCAUAGUGGUGAGAGCCCCGUAAUUGAUGUGGAUGCCCGGUGCUUUGUGAUACACUUUCGAAGAGUCGAGUUGUUUGGGAAUGCAGCUCAAAUUGGGUGGUAAAUUCCAUCUAAAGCUAAAUAUUGGCGAGAGACCGAUAGCGAACAAGUACCGUGAGGGAAAGAUGAAAAGCACUUUGGAAAGAGAGUUAACAGUACGUGAAAUUGUUGGAAGGGAAACGCUUGAAGUCAGACUUGCUAUUCGGAAUUCAGCCGCAAGGUGUACUUUUCGAUUUGCAGGCCAGCAUCAGUUUUUGGGGGUGGAAAAGGGUGGAGAGAAGGUAGCAACCUUGGUUGUGUUAUAGCUCUUUACUGGAUUCAUCUUUGGGGACUGAGGAUCGCAGUGCGCAAUUUACUUUGCAAACCUUUCGAGGUUUUCGUACUUAGGAUGCUGGUGGAAUGGCUUUAAACGACCCGUC
Molecule: ribosomal RNA, 610 nt
Filed under: Glaciozyma watsonii
Lineage: Eukaryota; Fungi; Basidiomycota; Microbotryomycetes; Kriegeriales; Camptobasidiaceae
Description: partial large subunit ribosomal RNA
Rfam family: Eukaryotic large subunit ribosomal RNA
Source: RNAcentral